RNAcentral lists this ribosomal RNA (508 nucleotides) under uncultured bacterium. RNAcentral describes it as "partial 16S ribosomal RNA". It matches the Rfam family "Bacterial small subunit ribosomal RNA", at positions 30 to 523 of the family's 1533-position model. The record is from RNAcentral.
AUUGAACGCUGGCGGCAGGCCUAACACAUGCAAGUCGAGCGGCAGCGGGAAAGUAGCUUGCUACUUUUGCCGGCGAGCGGCGGACGGGUGAGUAAUGCCUGGGAAAUUGCCCAGUCGAGGGGGAUAACAGAUGGAAACGACUGCUAAUACCGCAUACGCCCUACGGGGGAAAGCAGGGGACCUUCGGGCCUUGCGCGAUUGGAUAUGCCCAGGUGGGAUUAGCUAGUUGGUGAGGUAAUGGCUCACCAAGGCGACGAUCCCUAGCUGGUCUGAGAGGAUGAUCAGCCACACUGGAACUGAGACACGGUCCAGACUCCUACGGGAGGCAGCAGUGGGGAAUAUUGCACAAUGGGGGAAACCCUGAUGCAGCCAUGCCGCGUGUGUGAAGAAGGCCUUCGGGUUGUAAAGCACUUUCAGCGAGGAGGAAAGGUUGAUGCCUAAUACGUAUCAACUGUGACGCUACUCGCAGAAGAAGCACCGGCUAACUCCGUGCCAGCCGCCGCGGUAA